AUACGUAGGGGGCAAGCGUUGUCCGGAAUGAUUGGGCGUAAAGGGCGCGUAGGCGGCCCGGUAAGUCUGAAGUGAAAGUCCUGGUUUUAAGUUGGGAAUUGCUUUGGAUACUGUCGGGCUUGAGUGCAGGAGAGGUAAGUGGAAUUCCCAGUGUAGCGGGGAAAUGCGUAGAGAUUGGGAGGAACACCAGUGGCGAAGGCGACUUACUGGACUGUAACUGACGCUGAGGCGCGAAAGUGUGGGGAGCAAACAGGAUUAGAUACCCUGGUAGUCCACACUGUAAACGAUGAAUGCUAGGUGUAGGGGGUAUCGACCCCUUCUGUGCCGCAGUCAACACAAUAAGCAUUCCGCCUGGGGAGUACGGCCGCAAGGUUGAAACUCAAAUGAAUUGACGGGG
RNAcentral lists this ribosomal RNA (397 nucleotides) under uncultured bacterium. RNAcentral's name for it is "partial 16S ribosomal RNA". It matches the Rfam family "Bacterial small subunit ribosomal RNA", at positions 523 to 918 of the family's 1533-position model. The record is from RNAcentral.